CCAAUAGCGUAUAUUAAAGUUGUUGCAGUUAAAAAGCUCGUAGUUGAAUUUCGGGAUCAAUACGUCGGUCGUGCUUCGGUACGUACUGGCGUCAUUGGUUUCUCCUUUCUGACGAACCAUGAUGUCAUUAAUUUGGUGUUAUGGGAAAUCAGGACUGUUACUUUGAAAAAAUUAGAGUGUUUAAAGCAGGCUCACGCUUGAAUACAUUAGCAUGGAAUAAUGAAAUAGGACGUUCGAUCCUAUUUUGUUGGUUUUAGGAUCAACGUAAUGAUUAAUAGGGAUAGUUGGGGGCAUUAGUAUUCAAUUGUCAGAGGUGAAAUUCUUGGAUUUAUUGAAGACUAACUACUGCGAAAGCAUUUGCCAAGGAUGUUUUCAUUAAUCAAGAACGAAAGUUAGGGGAUCGAAGACGAUCAGAUACCGUCGUAGUCUUAACCAUAAACUAUACCGACUAGGGAUCGGAUGAUGUUAAUUUUUUAAUGACUCAUUCGGCGCCUUACG
This 498-nucleotide ribosomal RNA is filed under the name uncultured Glomeromycotina. Its description in RNAcentral is "partial small subunit ribosomal RNA". It matches the Rfam family "Eukaryotic small subunit ribosomal RNA", at positions 591 to 1092 of the family's 1831-position model. Lineage: Eukaryota; Fungi; Glomeromycota. The record is from RNAcentral.